RNAcentral lists this ribosomal RNA (253 nucleotides) under uncultured bacterium. RNAcentral's name for it is "partial 16S ribosomal RNA". It matches the Rfam family "Bacterial small subunit ribosomal RNA", at positions 524 to 776 of the family's 1533-position model. The record is from RNAcentral.
UACGUAGGGCGCAAGCGUUGUCCGGAAUUAUUGGGCGUAAAGGGCUCGUAGGCGGUUUGUCGCGUCUGCUGUGAAAACCUAAGGCUCAACCUUGGGCUUGCAGUGGGUACGGGCAGACUAGAGUGCGGUAGGGGAGAUUGGAAUUCCUGGUGUAGCGGUGGAAUGCGCAGAUAUCAGGAGGAACACCGGUGGCGAAGGCGGUUCUCUGGGCCUUACCUGACGCUGAGGAGCGAAAGCGUGGGGAGCGAACAGG